Molecule: long non-coding RNA, 16796 nt
Filed under: Gossypium barbadense (sea-island cotton)
Lineage: Eukaryota; Viridiplantae; Streptophyta; Magnoliopsida; Malvales; Malvaceae
Description: long non-coding RNA (GBAR_LNC022176)
Source: RNAcentral
AAGGUGAUAGUGAAUCGAUUUGAGAUUAUUUUUCCUAAGAUCAUAGGCCAAGAGCAAGCGGGGUUUAUUGUAGGUAAAAAUAUUAUUGACAAUGUUGCCAUAGUACAACAAGUGUUGCAUUCCAUGAAAAGUAAGAGUACAAUUUAGUGGAGAACUAUUAAGAUAGAUUUAGAGAAAGCCUAUGAUAGGGUGCAUUGGGAUUUUGUGGAAGCAUCUCUUAAAGUGGCAGCUAUUCCUAACUUUCUAAUAAAGGUUAUUAUGUCAGCUAUCUCGACGUCCAUUAUGCAGGUUUUAUGGAACAAAGUUACGACCCCUAAGUUCAAGCCUGUUAGAGGAAUUCGUUAGGGCUGUCCUUUAUCUCUAUAUCUUUUUUGUGUUGUGCAUGGAAUGGUUGGGCCAUUGGUUUCAUUCGACUAUCUCAUUUGGGGAAUGGAGUCUUAUUCAGUUAUCUCGAAAGAGGGCCUUCCCUUUCGCAUUUAUUUUUUGCAGAUGACUUAGUGAUUUUUACCAAAGCGAACUUGUAGCAUAACAAAAUUCUUAAGGACUUCCUUGAGUGAUUCUGUGAGUUUUCCAGGCACAAGGUUAAUGUUUGGAAGAUCAAUAUGUUUUUUUCUACUAGAGUCAAUGGGGACUUAGUGAGGAAGAUUAGUGAUAUACUCGGAUUCCAACACGUUUAAGAUCUUGGUCAUUAUUUAGGAGUUUCCUUUCACCAAAGAAUUACCAAAGGUUCGUUGAGUUUUUUGGUAGAAAAAGUUCGGAAGAAGCUUUCUAGCUGGGAAGCUAAGGAACUCUCAUUUGUGGGAAGGGUAACUUUAGCAUAUACAGUUUUACUUUCAAUCCUAAGUUAUCUCAUGCAAUUCUUAAUGGUCUCGAAAGGCGUCUAUAACAAAAUUGAAGAAAUGGUGCGGCAAUUCAUUUGGGGAUCUUCUGGUGGUAAAAGGAAAAUGACAUUAGUGAGGUGGGAUGUUAUUUGUCAGCCUAAAUCGCGUGGAGGUUUUGGGAUACGACAUCUUAGCGAUCAAAACUUCACUUUUAUGAUGAGGCUUGGUUUUAAGAUUGUCACCAAAACUGAUGCUUUAUGGGUUUGGGUCCUUAGAGCGAAGUAUGGGAUAAAUGACAAAUUGUCGAAAUGUAUUACAUGGAGUAGAAGCUUUUUUUAUGUGGAAAUCCAUUUCUAAAGCACGACCUUUACUGUGUGAUAAUUUGAUAUGGUCAGUGGUUGAUGUAAAUAACGUUCAUUAUUGGAAGGAUUCUUAGGUCCCUAAUAUGAGACCAUUAAGAAAACAUGUUUCUGCUUAUGCAAAUGUUGUUUCAGACUGUAAGUUGAGUGAAAUGGUUACGAAAAAUGGCACAUGGUGCCUCGAUCUAUUUCGAGUUUGGUUGACAGAAAAUGUUAUCCAACAUAUCGUUAGCAUUCCCCUACCAAUGUCUUUUUGUAGGACCAGAUUUGAUCUUUUUGUCUCGUUCUGCAAUAGUUGCCUUCUUUGUUAAAAGUGCAUAUUGGAUAUUGAAAUAGGGGUCUUGGAAUCCCAGAGAUGCAGUUUGGAAUAUAGUGUGGAAAUUCCCUAGGACUCAGAGAGUUAGGCAUUUCAUUUGGAUAGUUUUGAAACAGAGACUCCUAACCAAUGUCGAGAAAGUUCAAAGGAGGAUUGGUCAGGAUGAGUCAUGCCUUCUUUGUGGACAUAGAUAUGAGGAUGCAUUACAUGUGCUUAGGGAUUGCCCGGUUGCAAAGGAUGUUUGGCACCAAGUUUUUCCACUAAGUCAACAUGGGGUUUUCUUCUCUAGCAAUUUAACAGAAUGGCUGAUUUUAAAUUUGCAUGAUCACUCAAAUCACAACACGAGGGAUCCGAGUUGGGUCUAUCUAUUCGAGUUAUUAGUGUGGCAUAUUUGGAAAAAUAGAAAUUCUUUUAUCUUCCAAGGUAUAUCCAUGAAUCCAAAUGAGAUUAUUAAGGUCUCAUAUAGCUAAGCUAAACAAUAUAUUUUAGUACAUAGGGAUGUGUCGAGGUUGGGAUUAGAACCCUAUUUUGAGCAUUCAUUUCCAAGUAUGUGUUUUUUUUCUCAAUACUAAAGGUGUCGUUCAGGCGAACACUGAUUUAUAUGUUGCAAGAGGUGGUGUGGUUUGGGAUGAAAUGGGGAAGUGGAUAUUGGGAUAUAAUCAGUUCUUGGAAAAGUGUUCAGUCUUUGUUGCCUAGCUAUGAGGCAUUUUGGAUGGUUUACUUCUACUUCAGAAGUAAAGGCAUGAUAGGGUCAUCAUCCAAUUUGAUAAUCUUGAUGUUGUUAAAGCUAUUUGCGACCGUCAGUUAGCUGGGGCAAGUAUAUCACUUGUUAGGAGAAUCCAACAUAUUUUAUCCCAUGAUGACAAAUGGUUCAUGCGACAUACCUUUAAGAAAAAUAAUCAGGUAGCGAAUGCAUUAACUAAAAUGGCUUUUGCGAAUGAUGAAGAUUUGUGUUUAUUUGAUGUCCUUCCUAUAAAGAUUCAAGUAAUUUUAAAAGAGGAUAGAGUGAGAGGUAAUUUGGCUCCAGUUAUUAUUUUAGUUUUUUUACACCAAAAAAACACACCUGUUACCUCUCUUAUAUUAACUAAUAAUUAAUAAAAAUAUUUCAAAGUCAAUUCUAAUUAAAUUUGUGCGACUUGAUUCACAUACACCAAAUUCAAUUAGAGCUAUAGAUUAAUAAAAAUCUCAUAUGGUCGCGUAACCAAUUUGUUAAGUUUUUAAAUGGACAAGAAUUAAAAUGUCCUUUUCAAUAAUAAAAGGAUUAAAAUGAACAUUUGGUAUACUAUAAGGACUCGUAUUGUAUUUUAACCUCAUUUUUUGAGUAAUAGAUGGUAUUAUAAAAAAAUCAAAUUAUAACAAAUUAAAUAAUACCGAAACUAUACUUUAACCCCCAAAAAACAAUAUCUUCAAUAUAUAUUCACACACAAUUUUUCUUUUAAGAAAUAUGACAUAUUCUCAAGAGAAAAUACAUAUGUUUAAACUUUAGAGACAAUAUUGUUAGAAAAAAUAAAACAAAUACGAACAUAAAUCAUGAAAUAAUCAUAAAAAAUAUCAAAAAAUAAGAGUAAAUCUGGCAAAUUUAGAUAUUAAAAUAUUGGGAUUAGUUUUAUUCAAGUUGAAAUUCAACUUCUUUUGAAUUUAAAUUAUUUGGAGUUAAGGUAAUGUUUUAUUAAAUUCAUUUGGGUAGGUUAGUUCAUUAUAUAAGGUAGAAUUAUUAUCUUUUUAUGUUGAAAUAAAAUUAUAUCAAAUUUAAAUAUAUAUUACUUAAAUAGUCCAACAUAAGUAAAAUCUUCAAUUAAAUUUAUUUGUGAGAUAUUUUGAAAUAAACAAAAUACUUUCUCCGUAGCAAUGUAAAUAAUAACAUUUUAAUUUACUUGAAUUUAAUAUAAAAUUCCAACAAUUUUUACAAUUAAAUUUAUAUUUUUAAACUUGAAAAAGUAAAAAAUAGAUAAUUAAAAUUUUAAAAAUAGAAAUAAGGAGACCAAAUUUUAAAUAUAUGAAGAUUACAAGGACUUAUAUAAUAUUUUUAAUUUUUUUUAAUUAACUCUAUUUCUUUCUCUCUCUUGACACCAUACCACACUAUAACUAUAGGGAAUUAGGAAAAGCAAAAAUUCUGUAUUUAGCUCCUUGAAAAUUCGCUACGUUUUCUCCCAUAUUAUAUGCUCUGCUUUGCUCGCCAGUUCCCGGUUGCUCCAUGAAAGAACCUUCCCUCUCCCUUUAUCCUCUCUAAACUUCAUUUCAAUUCAACCCUUUUUUUCUCUCUUGUUUUUUCAUUACUAAAUCAACUAAGGAACCUCUUUUUUUGGGUUCUUUUUGAAAAGCAAAACGCCCGAGCAUUAAUGGAGAAAAAGCAAGGUUUUUUCUCAGCUCUCAAAGAGGAAGUAAUUCGUGGGCUUUCACCUUCCCGCUCGAGGACCAACAGCCCCGGAAGAGCCCGGUCACCCAUUGCGAUUCUGUUGCGGAGAAAGAAAAGCGGCCACAACAACUACGGAGGCGCUUACCUGGCGCAACCGGAGCCCUUGAUCGCGAGGUACGGUGUCGGGGAAGCGUUAACUCCGCUCAUGGAAGGUCCCGACCAGGACGGAGGUGAAACCGGGGACUCCAAGAGGCUUGGGUCGGGGCUAGGACAAUGGGUUAUGGGACAGUUAUCGAGGACUCCAUCCAUGGCUUCCUUGAGUUGCAAAAGGUCCGAUCUAAGGCUGUUGCUGGGGGUCAUGGGUGCACCUUUGGCUCCUGUUCAAGUUUGCUCCACUGACCCUUUGCCUCACUUGAGCAUCAAAGACACUCCCAUUGUUAGUCCCCUUCCGCCCCCCCCCCCCCCCGGUCUUCUUUAGCUUAUAAUAGACUUAAAAAAGAACAAAUGAACUUCUGGGUGUUUUUUUUUCUGCUUAUGCUGGUUUGAAUGGUGGCUAAAGUAUUUAUCAGUUAUAGUAUUUUAUUUGUAAUGUUCUUGUAUUUUUCUUUAAGCUUCUUCUAUGGUCUGUGGAUCCAUUUUAUUAAAUCAUGGUUUUCAUUCAAACUGUGGUUAGCAAGAAACUUGAGUAAAAACUCCAUUUCAUUGCGGUAUGGUGCAGGAAACUUCCACUGCUCAGUACAUAUUGCAGCAGUAUACAGCUGCUUCCGGUGGUUUGAAGCUGCAAAACUCUGUUCGGAAUGCGUAUGCAAUGGGAAAACUGAAAAUGGUAGCUUGUGAAUACGAAACUGCUGCGAAGACGGUUAAGAACCCAUAUGGCUCCAGGGGUGCGGAGUCCGGUGGGUUUGUGCUCUGGCAAAUGAAUCCGGACAUGUGGUAUGUUGAACUUGCGGUUGGGGGCAGCAAGGUUCAUGCUGGCUGUAAUGGGAAGCUUGUGUGGAGGCACACACCUUGGCUUGGUGCUCGCACUGCAAAGGGGCCUGUUAGACCCUUGCGUCGUGCACUUCAGGUGAGGUCUCCUAUGCUUAUCAGCAGCUGAACAUUGGGUCUUCGAUUAUACUUCUAGCAUUACUGGUUUUCUGAUUCUCUCUUUGUGCUUCACUAUUCCUAAUUCAGGGUCUUGAUCCGAGAACUACAGCUAGUAUGUUUUCUGAUGCAAAAUGUAUAGGAGAGAAGACAAUUAAUGGUGAGGAUUGCUUCAUCCUCAAGCUCUGUACCGACCCCCAGACAUUGAAGGCAAGGAGUGAAGGCCCUGCGGAGAUCAUUAGGCAUGUCUUAUUUGGCUACUUUAGUCAGAAGACCGGGCUUCUGGUUCACAUGGAGGAUUCACUCUUGACUCGUAUUCAAUCCAACGGUGGGGAUACUGUUUAUUGGGAAACCACAAUCAAUUCAUAUCUUCAGGAUUACCGUCCCGUCGAAGGUAUCAUGAUAGCACAUUCUGGCCGUUCUGUCAUUACACUUUUCAGGUUCGGGGAAGCUGCAAUGAGCCAUACAAAAACAAGGAUGGAAGAAGCUUGGACGAUCGAGGAGGUUGCCUUUAACAUACCAGGCCUUUCUGUUGAUUGUUUUAUUCCUCCAGGUGAUUUGAAAUCUGGAUCCAUCAGUGAAACCUAUGAGCUACCUCAGGACGAAACAGGGAAGAGUGGGAUCGCCUUAUCAGCAUAUCAUGCCAAAGUUGCUGCACUCGAGAAGGCACAGGAUAAUUGGCUGACAGUAUGAUUUGCAGGAUACAAGUCUGAAGAAGUGUAGAAUUCACAACUUAGAAAGUGCUCAAUUUGGUAGCUAGUUCAGUUGACUAACCCAUUAGAAAUUAAAAAAGAAGGUAGAAGUCAAUUUUUGGACUUCGGUUUUAUGCCUCUAUUAAUCUGUAAAUAGAGCAUAAUGGUUCAUAUCGGGACCUCUAUGGAUCUUUAUACUCUCAAUGCAGAAUCCAACUAUGGAGAGUUGGAGCUCAGUUUUUCCAAUUAGGGAUAGAGCUAAUGGAGGUUGGUUUUUAGUUUACCCGGCUUUGAUGGUAAGUAGCAAAGCUACCCCAUCAACCCUUUUAUUUUUUCUAUAGUUACACUAACUAUAUAUAGUAUGGCAGCAUAAAGGAUGCUGCCAGUUUAACAGUAAUGUCUAGUUUUUUUUUUUUUGAUGUUACAAAUUCUGGAUUUGUGAUUCAAAAUGUGAUGAUUUGGGUUGAAAGUUGUUUGGGGGGUUUGAGAGAAGGGAAAGAGAUUUUGCCAUUUUUGUGGAAAUGGUGAUAAAUAGGCAUAAUGGUAAAUGAGAUGGAACUAACUAUAUUUCUUACCUUCUGAAAGUUAUUCAAUGCUUUUGAUGAAUAUACAGUGAUCCCCAUAUUUCCUUCAUUCUUUUCUAAGUUUUAAUAUGUGACUUGUGAAUGCCCAGAUUAUCUUUGUACUACAAGUGACGACACUCGAACCCUAAUGCUGUUGUUAGGGUGUUAAUAAGAACUUUGGUUGAACCACCAUAUCUUUAAGAAUAUACUUAAUCUUCCUACAUCAAGUAGGCAGCAAUAUCUAAGGUUAUCUUUGACCCAUCACUGCCAUUGGAACCCUUUAAGGCUUGAGUGUGUCCCCUUGGUGGGGUGUCCAAAGCUUUUUUUAGUCAGACAAGCCAACAUAUUUUUGAAGCAAUGCAAAGCCCCACCUUUGACCACAGGUGUAAUGUGGGGUUAGGUUGGGUCAGUGGUGUGAAGUUGUGGUAGCAUCGUUCAAAGCUAAAAAAGCUAAGCACGAGAUGAAAGUUCCUCAAAACCCCCAUGUGAUUCUUCAUUCUUCUUUUGCUUUUGCUUUGGUUCCUUUGCUUAACUGUUUUAGCAGAUCUUUUUACCUGCUUUUGCCAACUUAUUUAUUUAUUUAUUUCGGUCUUUCUUCAUGUUUACUCUCUAAGAUAUAGGUGCUGAGGGUGGGGAAAGUUCCAACUCAUCCCAUGUUUUCUGAAAAGUCAAUCUCUCUUUCUUUUACUCCAUUUUCUUUUUAAGGAGCCAUAGAGGACUUCUCUCUAUAUGUAAAAUCAAGUCAUAUAAAAUUUGGGCAUAUUUUAAUAAAUGCCUUAUAAUAUAUUUUUACUAAAAUGUUUUUCUUUUAAUUUUAUAGAUAUUAUAUCUAUUUUGAUUCAAUUUUAUCAUUAUAGAUGGCUUGAGGAGUUUUUUUUACUUUACCGAUGGUGUACAAGACAAUAAUUCAAAAUAAUAAAUAUAAAAUAAGAAAAAAAUACUAUAUAUGUAUUUGUAUUAAGAGUUUGAUUUUAUUUUGUCUCUCUACUUAAAAAAUUGGUAAAUUAGUCCUGUAUGUUAGAUUAAAGAGCAGGACCAACUUGCUCUUUGAUCUAAUGUACAAGAAUUAAUUUAUCUAUUUUUUGAGUAGAGGGAGCAAAAUACAAUGUGACUCCUAGUAUAAGAGUCUUUAUGGCACUUCUAUCAUAUAAAACAUUACGAUAUUAUGUAAAAUAUAGAGUUGAGUUGAGAUUUUUUUUUUCAAGAAGUUGGAGGCCACGUGGAUUGAAGAAAUCAUUUUGGGCUCGGAAUUGGAUGUUAUUAAUUUUGAGUUUAACUUGUUUAAUUGUCGAUUUAGUUUUAAUUUGGUUGACAUCGAUAUUUUUAUCAAUGUGGGAGGACGUGGAUUCAAGUGCGUUGUAACGCAUUCAUCCUCUUUUUUGAGAAUCAGGAAGGGGUCGUGAAUAAUUAUAAGCGACUUGAUUAAAUUCAAAAUUAAAGUACUUUAAUGAUUGGCUGGUUUAAUUUCAGAUUAUUAACUAUAAAAAUGGGUUAAAUUUACAUUAAAGAUUUUGGUUAAGCUGCAAUUGAAUAAAUAUUACGUUGUUUGUGAGGUUUUAUCCCGUGAAUAAUUUACUAUAAAUCAAUUCUUAUGUUUGUGAGGCUUUGUUGAAUGAGUAGUUUAUUAUAAAUCAACUCUUACAAAAUAAGUCCAAUUCACUCACCAACCCUUUUCCCUUAAAAACUUAAUUCACAAAACAAGUUACUUACAAUGAAUUUGUACUAGAAUAAUUUCUUGACUUCAACAAAAUAGAUUCUCUCUUAAUCUCAAGUAUUCUGGUGUUUAAUGGCUUGCAAAAGUACAAUUAGGAUGUUCAAAUUUUGGUUAAAAUCGAAUUAACCGACCGAAAUCGAACUAAUUCGAUUAAUCUAUCAGUUAACCAAUCUAAUUCGAUCGGAGGGCGGUUAAUGGUUUCUUGAAAGUUCGGUUAUCGGUUAAUUCAGGUUGAAAUUGGGUAAUUAACCGAAUUAACCGAACUUUUAAAAAACCAAUAUUAUAUAUUACCAUUUCGGUUAAUUUUGGUUAAUUAAGUUAAUUUUAAUCUAGUUAAUUCGGUCAAAUGAACAUUAUUAAUUUACUUUUUGAUAUGUUUUAUACUUGUUUUAACAAAAAAACAAAAACAUAAAAAUUUCAGUUAAUUCGGUUAACCGAAAUAAUUUGGUUUGGUUAAUUUAUUUUGAAAAAAUUUUGGUUCGGUUAACGGUUAAGGGUUUAAAAAUUUCGGUUAAUUCGAUUAAUGCUAGUUUGGUUUGAUUAACUGAUUGAACACUCCUAAGUACAAUCAAUGUAGAGCUCUCUCUUUUUUUCUCUCUUCAAAAAUAGUCUUCAAUAAAGAAAAAAGUGGUAGAUAUAUUCUCAAUAUAAACUUCUUUGAAAAUAAAAUCUCUUCGAUUAUGAAAAUUUCGAUCACAUUGAAAGUCUUGAUAAAGUCCUUACUUUGACAUGAUUCUUGUACGAUUUGCCUUCACUAAUGCUCUGCCAGAAAAAUCUUCCAAGAUGCUCAAUUAAAAACCCCAAUAGUUUUGAUCAAAAGAUGUCAACCAAUAUGAUAAGUUACAAUUGUCUACCAAAUGCACGUUAAAUUGCAACUGGAGUUGCAUCUGACAUUUAUAACUAGCACUAACAAAUUAAUUGAGUGUAAAUCUUUUGAUUGCCUUCACUAUGUGUAUACUCAAACAUAUAUGUUGAACAUACAUCCAAUAAUAACAAAAAUAACCAACAAGCUAUUGGUUUAGUAAUAACUUGCAUGUGGGUUCAUGUGUUGGCAUGCAUUUAGGGCUAAAAAAAGGAAAAUAAUAUAUACUUUAACAAUUUUUAAGGUAUCUACUAAUUAUUUCAUUUAAUUUUUUAUAACCUUUUAUUUGUGUAGAGGGUUCUUUAGUAGAGAGAGGAGGUGUUGCAAGCAAGUAAAUAGAAUGUAUCAAGAGUAGCUAAAGAGGAAAACUAGAGCAAAUCUUAUAAAUUGAGCGUAGUAAUAGGUGGGGGCUUGUAAGGUGGAAAAAGGUUACACGUGGCUUAGAAUAAGACUAAGUAUGAGAAUAGUUUAAAAGAGUCUUAGAGAUAGUUUUGGGAGUUAGAAUGCUAAAAUUGUUAAAAAGUCCUUUCACAAGUUGCAAAAGGCUUCUAUUUAUAAUGUCCAAAAACAAGAGUUACAAAUUUAAGUAUUAAAUAGGAGUAAUGACAAAUAUUGUAAGUUACAAAGGCAUUAAUAUCCUUUUAAUAAUAAAUAGUUUAGGUUAACCAUGAAGGGUAAAUAGUGAAUAAGAAUUCACUAUGUUUCUGAAAGAAAAGGGAGAAGCACACAAUGUUAUAUGAAAAAGUUAAGAGGAAACCAUUUAACUACCUCCAUAUUUAAUACACCAAGUCAAUCUCUUCAGAACAUCCCGAGAAUCUUGCCUUAUUUUGAGGUUAUUUUCACUUCUUGUGCUUUUGUGAAGUAAUACCUUGUGAAACAUUUUAUGUAGAACAUCACUUGAAAUGCAAGCUAUUCUUAAUGAAGAAUUCUUCUUGAACGAGAGUUGUUCCUGAAUAAGGGUUAUUUUUAUUUAUUCCAAACAUGAAUUGUUCUCAACAUAGCCACUCUUAGUAGUGGUUGUUUCAAACAAGAAUUGUUUUGCAAUGAUGCUUUUCUUUAAAGAGAUUGUUUUGAAUAAUGACUCAUAUUUAAAAAAAACUCACAAUUGUUCUAAAUAGAAAUUGUUUUGAAUUGUGGUUGUUUUGAAUUAUGGAUAUUCUAAACAAAAGUUGUUUUGAACAUUAGUUGUUCCCAAAUAACAACUACACUCACAGCUAUUUUAAACUAGAGCCUUAUUCUGAACAUAGUCGCUCUGAACUAGCUAUUCUCAGCGACGAUUGUUUUGAACAACAAUUACUCUAAACAAGAAUUGUUCUUCCGGAAAAAGAAUUAAGUGAAACAAUAUCAUUACUUAUUCAUAGUUAACCUUUUUAUUAUCACCUUUGGGAGUGCAAUUCCUUAAAACAGAACCUUAUUAUCUUUGAAAAGAGAUAAAAGAUUAGUAGUAAAACUAGUACCUACAUUUUUUUGUUGUAAUCAAAGUAUCUAUCGUCCACGGCAAUGACUAAUCCUCUCACCAUGGGUGCUCUCCGAAAAAUAAAUGAUUAGUCAUAAAAUAUGCUCUAUUCCCAUGAGCAGAGAUCGAAGCCCCAACCAUAUAAUAAAUAAUGAGAUGAGCAAUCACCAUACUACUCCUCAUAAUUAAAACUAGUAUCUACAUUUUAUCUAUCUUAUGGUUUCUUUUUGUGUUUUUUCCCAUCUUCAUAAGUUGCAGCAGGAUCUUUAGGGAGUGUUGUUAAACUGGUGGACAUUGUUGAGCACUUCAAAAAUACAUGUGCACAAUACACAAUAUAAUAUGCAAUAAAAGUUAGCAAUGUCAAUUCAUAUUAGAGUGUCGGCAAAGGAAAUUUGGACGUGAAAGUGGUAAAAACAUAGAUAGAUAUUUAUGAGAGUGAAGGGGAAAAAAAGACCAUAUUAAUGACAGUGCAUGGUGGAGCAAUGGAGCAAGAGGGUAUCUCAGUUGACUUCAACGUACAUUGCUUUCAAAGGGGGGAAAGGGGAAACUUAAAUUUUUUUUUUUUGCUAAAAAUUUAUUGAAGAUGGUUAAGAAAAGGACAAUACGAGGGACUUGUACACGAUUGAUAAAAUCUAAUUGUUGCAACAUUCAUAAUAAUUUGUUUUGGGUAAGAGGUGAGAGACUCUAUUACCUAUCCAUAAGUUGGGUUAUUGGUUUAAGUUUGAAGGUUACUCGAAAUACGAAAGGUUUGGACAAAAGUGCGAUACCUACAAAAUGAGUUUCGGCAAGCUCGACCCACCCAUUCUAUACUUCUGUAAUAUAUUUUUAUUUUAUGUAUAUAUUAUGUAAUUUAUACCACAUAAAAUUAUAUAUAUACAUAUGAUAAUACAAUACUAGGUAACAUUAUAACAAAGAUGUCUAAAUUUAAAUUUUUAAUAAAAAACCAUAUUAAAUAUUAAAUAUUAAAUUAAAAAUAAUAUGAGUGUGUCUAAAAUGGACUUAGAUUAACUAUUUAUAAAUCUGGGUAAAUUUGAAUUAAAUUUUAGACACAUAUUUUAGAUCAGAUCGAGUCAAGCUUGGACAAAUAUAAAGUGUGCUAAUAUUAUAAAUAUACUUAGACCCACCCAUUAACGUCUCUAACCUUUACUAAUUGAAGUUUGGGAAACUAUUUGUAAUAGAGUUGAAUUUUUUAUAUUUCACAAGUAUGCAGGCGAGGUUUUGGGUUGAUGGCAUGCAUGGUUGAAGGUUUGGAAAUUUUAAAAUAUCAAGAUUGAGUCUCAAUUUAUGUAAAUCAUGUUUAGAUUUGUUUUGAAUUAGAUUCGAAUAUAUUUUUGUUAUCAAUUUAUUUAUGCAUUGUAAUGAUUGAUUUUGAUUAUAAUGAUAUAAACGUAUAAAUUGUAAAUAUAAAUAUAACUUUUAAGAUUAUAUAUAUUUAACUAAUUUUCUUUCAUGUACAAUGUACAAAUUAAUUAUAUGUAUUAAUUUAAUUGCAUUACAUUAAUUAUUUACAAAGUUUUGAUAUUUUUUAGUAUUAAGAGUUUUUUUAAAUUUAUGUCCAUCACGUUGCAUAUUGAGAAGUUACCACAUAUUAACACAAACUAACGAUGUUUAUGCGAAGAUACUCACUUGAAUAUAUAUGCACAUAUACAAAUAUAUAUUGUAAUGAUUGAUUCUGAUCGCAAUGAUAUAUGCGCAUAUUUUGUAAAUAUAAUUUGGAAGUGAAGUAUAGAUGGAUAUUUAGGAGAGUGAAGGAAGAAAAAACCCAUAUUAAUGGCAGUGCAUGGUGGAGCAAUGGAGCAAGAUAGUAUCUCAGUUGACUUCAACAUGCAUUGCUUUCAAUGAGGGAAAAGAGGGAAACUUAAUUUCUUUUUCUGCUACAAAUUUAUUGGAGAAAGAUGGUUAAUAAAAGGGACAAUAAGAGGGACUAGGACCAGAUUGAUAAAAUCUAGUUGUUGCAACAUUCAUAAUAAUUUCUUUUUGGGGAGACACCAUGGUUGAUUGAAAUGUGGGAAAUUAUUUGUAAUAGUGUUGAAGUUUUUAAUUUUCACAAGUAUGUUAAUGAGGUUUUGGUUAGAUGGCAUGGUCGAGGUUUUGAUAAUUUAAAAAUCUCAAAUUUGAAUCUCUCAUUGUAUAAAUUAUGUUUGAAAUUUUAGUUUAAAUUUGUUUUCCACAUUUGAAUAUGUUUCGAUUAUCAAUUUAUUUAUGCAAUGUAAUUAUUGAAAUAUUGAUCGAAAUUCGAUUUUAGCUCGAUUGAGUAUAUAAUUAUAAAAGCUUCUAACUUGUUUUAAAGUAAAAUUAAAUUAUUUGUAAGGACAACUCCCUCAUAGACAAUCAUGGGGCUUUAGAUGGGCCUAAUACACAUCAACUUAUUGAACCCACAUCACUCAAUAACUUGGCCUAUGCAUAUGAUUCAAAAUAAUAGUAUUGUUGUUGGGUCCCAAACCAAAUAAAGCUAAAAUUAUGUUGCCUAAAUUAAAUAACUCGUACAAAAUCAUAGAUCAUUAUAGAAAAAAUGUGGAGUAUGCCUCGCAUUUCGGUCAAAUUAAAACACAAACAGAGAGCAACGCCGUGAUAAGGAUCCUUGGAUGUCGCGACAAUGAAAUAGGGGAGAAGCAGAAAUGACGUUGCGACGACACAAUAGGGGACGUUGCAAUGUGGCAACGUGUCAUGCAAUUUUCUUGAUUUUCUUCUUCCAGUCAAAUUCUGAUUAUUUGUUCUAGUCGAACUCUGAUUAGUAUAGAUUAUUUUAAGAUUAUUUGAUUUACGAAUUUAGCCUAUAAAUAGGCCCUAUUUUCUACCCUAGAAAGAUUAACCCAUAACACAUUUAAGUAUUAACUUUUACAAGCUUUCUGAGAAUUUUGUAUUUAAGUUUUGAGGGUUUUUAUUUUCAGGUUUCGGGGUUUAGUUUUUAUCUCCAUAUUUAUACUCUUCUUUUUUUGUCGAUUUAGUGAAUUAUCUUUGCCCGUAGUUUUUACCCUCUUUGGAGUUGUUUUUCCACAAAAUUUGUGUGUUCGAUCUUUUCAAUUUCUUCGUUAGUUUUCUUGUUCAUUGCUUACACAGGUUUAUCCCCAACAGAAGAGGUCAUUGUCAUCAUUUAAAGUAGAAUCACAACUUAACAUAACUUAAACUUGAUAAACAACUCAAAAAUAGAAAUUUGAUUUCAUAAAUUUGAUAUUCCAAGCUUGACACUAAAUAAUCAAUGCCUACAAAAAUACUUAAAAACAAAAAAAAAGAUAAUCAAUCUCUCUUCAUCUCACAAGACACAAAAUUUUCAAAACAAAAUUAAAGAACUGCUACAAGAUCUGGUCAAAACAUCAAGUAAUGAUCUGAUCAAAAUUCCAUCAAAGAAUAUUAUUUACAAUUUCAUUAUGUUACAGCCAAAAUGUCUCUAAACAUUAAAAAUUGGAGAGAAUGGUAACCAAACUCAAAACAAGAUCCAAAGAAGAAAGUUGAAGAAUAAAAGAGAUGUUGUCACUAACCCUCUUAAAUCGCUUUAAGCCAAUCAAUUAUUACAUUUAGCUUUAACUACCCAAGUUAUUCAACACAUUUAUUUUGAUAGUAAUAAUACUCAUAAGGACUUUAAAAUAAAGUUUUAAUCAUUUAAUUUCAAUUACUUUAUUUUCAUCAUGUGAUAGACAUUAUAGCCAUGCCAUUGCCAACAACAUCCCCAUAGUACCAUGGUCACAUCUCCCCAUUGCCCACCCAUACAUUCAUGGUUCCAUUUUAACUACCCUUUCCUUGACAUCUAUACAACUAUAUAUUAAAGGCACUAAAGCUUUUCAAUUCUAAUUUCUUUUACUUUUUAGAUUAUAAGAAUGGGUAAUUUUCAAUAUGAUCCCUAUAUUUUAUUUAAAUUUGAGAUUUAAUCUAUAUACUUUAAUUUUGACAUAAUUUAAUAUCUCAAUUUUUAUAAUGCCAUUAGUUAGUCUAAAUAUUUUAUUCUAAUUAAAAUGAUUAAUAUAUGAAUUUUUAAGAAUUGUUAGCGCCAUUAAUUUUUUUAUUGAAUUUAUGAUCAUUACAAUGUUAUUUUUUAGUUACAUGGAUACCAAGUUUAUUUUAUUUUUUUCAAAAUACCUUACCAACACAAAAGAAUUUUAACAGUGUUAACAAAUGGACCUAAAUUUUUAAAUUUGAAAAGCAGAGAAACUAAAUUCCUAAAAAUAAGAAAACACAAAUUAAAUUCCAAAUAUACGAAGAGUAAAAAAAGUUUGAACAAAUUGUAACCUUUAAAUUUUUACACUAUAAUUUAAUUAAAAAAUAAAUAAUUUAAUUGGACCCUUUGGACAAUCGUUUGAGCAUACUUUCAAAAUUGCUCAAGAUUAAAUGUUGACAUUUUGACUUGGAUCUCCAUAAUUGUUUUCUUCAUAAGUAAAUAAAUGGUAGUCGAAUUUGGAUGAUUGAAGGAACUAUAAGAUCAACAUGCCUUAUCCAUUAAGGCUUACCCUCAUCCUUAUUCUUUAAACCUUAUCUUGUGAAUUAUGCUGAUGAAUUUACUUAUAUAAGAUUGUAUUUUGAGAUAAAUUUUGGAGGUUUUUAUCCCGAUUUAUUAUGCAUUAAAUUGGUGAUUUUAUCUCCACAAAAUCUGCUAAGAGGAGACUUUUGUACUAGCUUAUAAAUAGACUGUUGAUUGACUUCCUCAUUGAGUUAUUUGGGUGUAUUUAGACCUUGUUCUUUUGUACUAGCUAGCAUAUAAAUAGAGUGUUGAUCAAAUUCCCUGUUUAAUAUUGCAUGUAAUAUGAGGUAUUUGGGGAGAGUAAUUUGUAACAAUAUAAAUUCAACUUUGCAGCUACAAUUAUUAUUACGAGAUGUUAGAUUGGACUUUUGCUAAUAGUUAUAUCAAAUUAACUGUUGAAUAAAAUCAUUCUUUGAAUGAGGCUUGCAAAUAGGAUUUGUGAAUCCAUAUUGAUUCUUUAUUUACUUAUCUCUUUGUCUUACAUUUUGAAUUUGUGUUUAUUUCUUUCUUUACUUUGCUUCUUGUUUGAUGUGUUUAAAAGGUUCUCUCCGAACUUCUAUUCAAUCAUCUAUUUGAAUAUCGAAUUAAAUGUGUAAUGAUAAAAAAAAAAAAGUAAAGGAAAUUUUUUAAAAAAAAUCAUGAGCGAAGGAAGUAGGCAGCCAUCAACAUAAAAUCCCAUACAAAAAGAAACAGUAAAACUCCCUCCAAUACAAAUGAAAAAUAUAAAAGCUCCCCUCAAAAAAAAUCUCCCAAAGAAUACAAAUAUAUAUAAAUAAAUGUAAGCUCAAAUAUGCAUAGUAAAAAGCCCCAUCAAAGAGACUUAAGCCAGUAACAAUAUAUAAUGGAAAUUAAAACACUGAAAACAAAAACCAUAGCUAAAGACACAAAUGGUGAAGAAAAGACUUCAUGGUUUAAAGCAUUAAAGUGAGGAUACCCCAUCCAAUCACCAAGCUCCACACCAUCUUUCUUAUGGACCAUGUUUUCUCUACUCCACUCUGCAAUAAUCAAAUAACAUCUUGUAUUCAUAUUUUUUUCCCACUAUUAUAAUAAUUGGAUACGCAAAAGAAUAAUAGCUUCAUCCAUUGACAACUAAACAUGCUUUUGGAUAAAAAUAUAUUUAGAUUUGAAAAAAUGAAUUUAAACUAUAAUAUUAAAAGAUAUAUUUUAAAAAUAAAUUGGGUUUUAGUUAAAUACUUGAAGUAUAGACAUACUUAGAUAGAAUUAAUUAAUUAUAAAUAUAGAUAAAUUUCAACAAAAUUUAUAGAUGCCAUUAAUAUGAUUUGUGUGUGUUGAUCCAACCUGAGGUCUAAUUAAAGCUUUCCAUGUCAGAGUUUACGUUAGAAUUUAGAACACCCUCUAUAUUUUUGCUAUAUUAGACAUACUAAAUUUUAAACCCCAUAAGAGAAUAUGCAUAUACAUAUACAUACCGUAUCGGUUCCAGCAGGGCCUGGUGAAGAAGCGCCGAGGCUGGGAGUAGGGGCCUCAGUUGAUGGAGACGGUGGGCUGGAGGCCGAAGGUGAUAGCGCUGGAGACUUAGCUUUGGUCUUGCUAGGGGCCGGAGCUGGAACCGUGGCAGGAGGAGAAGCCAAAGGAGCUGGUGGUGGGGUAGCUGGAGGAGGAGUAGCAGGAGGGGGAGAAGCAGGUGGUGGGGUAGCCUGAGGUGGAGAAGCCGGUGGGGGAGUUGCGGGAGGUGGGGUAGCUGGGGGAGGAGUAGCCGGUGGAGGAGAAGCUGGUGGUGGGGAGCUAACGGGCGGGGGAGUCGCUGGAGGAGGAGUGGAAACUGGUGGUGGAGAAGCUGUCACUGGAGGUGGUGAUGAUGUAGGAGGAGGAGUGGAAGCUGGUGGCGGAGAAGUAGUUGUGGGUGUUGGAGGUGGUUGGGUAGUAGGCGGAGGUGUGGAAGCGGGUGGGGUCGGCGGCACCGGCGUGGAUGUCGGAGGAUUACUAGGAGUAGGAGGAGCUUGGCCUAAAGCGCCAGCUACAGCAAUGCAAAACAAAGCUGAUAAGAACAAAAACUUGUUAUUAAGCAUCAUGUUGGAAACAAUGGUGACCCUUUAAUCCUGCACACCCUCUCCGCUUAAACUACGCCCAGCCGCGCAAGCAAAAGAGGGAGAAGAAUAGCAA